UAGUCCACGCCCUAAACGAUGUACACUAGUUGUUGUGAGGCUAGACCUUGCAGUAAUGCAGUUAACACAUUAAGUGUACCGCCUGGGGAGUACGGUCGCAAGAUUAAAACUCAAAGGAAUAGACGGGGACCCGCACAAGCGGUGGAGCAUGUGGUUUAAUUCGACGAUACGCGAAGAACCUUACCUGGACUUGACAUAGAAAGAAUAACGCAGAGAUGUGAUAGUGCUUGCUUGCAAGAACUUUCAUACAGGUGCUGCACGGCUGUCGUCAGCUCGUGUCGUGAGAUGUUGGGUUAAGUCCCGCAACGAGCGCAACCCUUAUUUCUAGUUGCCAUUUGGAACUCUAGAAAGACUGUCGGUUAUAAACCGGAGGAAGGCGGGGAUGACGUCAAGUCAGCAUGCCCCUUAUGCCCUGGGCUACACACGUGCUACAAUGGACGAGACAAUGAGUUACAAAUCUGCGAAGAUAAGUUAAUCUAUAAACUCGUUCUAAGUUCGGAUUGU
RNAcentral lists this ribosomal RNA (504 nucleotides) under uncultured bacterium. RNAcentral describes it as "bacterial SSU rRNA". It matches the Rfam family "Bacterial small subunit ribosomal RNA", at positions 791 to 1301 of the family's 1533-position model. The record is from RNAcentral.